GAUUAGCGCUGACAGAAUGCUUAACACAUGCAAGUCGAUGGGGAAGUGGUGCUUGCACCAUGGCAACCGUGGCGGACGGGUGAGUAACGCGUAAGGGACUUACCUGCAGGACUGGGAUAACAGGGGGAAACUCCUGACAAGACCGGAUAAUGUCAUGGAGCUGCAUGGCUUUAUGAUGAAAGGAGACGCCUUCGGAGAUGCUUGCGUCCUAGUAGCCAGUUGGUGAGGUAAUGGCUCACCAAGCGGCAGAUAGGGAGCCGGCUUGAGAGGAGGGACGGCCACAAGGGGACUGAGAGGCGGCAGUAACUCCUACGGGAGGCAGGGGUGGAGAAUAUUGGACAAAGGGGGCAACCCUGAUGCAGCAAUUCUGUGUGCACGAAGAUGGUUUUCGGAAUGAAAAGUGCUGUCAGAAAGGAAGAAGUAAGUGACGGUACCUGCAGAAGAAGCGACGGCUAAAUACGUG
Molecule: ribosomal RNA, 463 nt
Filed under: uncultured bacterium
Lineage: Bacteria
Description: partial 16S ribosomal RNA
Rfam family: Bacterial small subunit ribosomal RNA
Source: RNAcentral